GCGCACCAGUCGAGAAAACUCCGCAAUGCUCGAAAGAGUGACGGGGGGAUUCCAAGUGCCUACGCUUAGCGUAGGCUGUUCAGAUGCCUAAAAAGCAUCUGGAGUAAGGGCUGGGUAAGACGGGUGCCAUCUGCAGUGGUAAUGAAAAACUUGCUACUGCAAGGCAUAAGCCGCCGCGGUAAUACCCGCAGCCCGAGUGGUAGUCGCUUUUAUUGGGCCUAAAGCGUCCGUAGCCGGUCUGGUAAAUGCCUGGGGUAAAUCGUGGGGCCUAACCUCACGAAUUCCGGGUAGACUGCCAGACUUGGGACCGGUUGAGGGAGAGGGUACUCCAGGGGCAGGGGUGAAAUCCUGUAAUCCUUGGAGGACCACCGGUGGCGAAAGCGCUCUCCUAGGACGGUCGACGGUGAGGGACGAAAGCCAGGGGAGCAAACCGGAUUAGAUACCCGCGUAGU
RNAcentral lists this ribosomal RNA (452 nucleotides) under uncultured microorganism. RNAcentral describes it as "bacterial SSU rRNA". It matches the Rfam family "Archaeal small subunit ribosomal RNA", at positions 330 to 745 of the family's 1478-position model. The record is from RNAcentral.